This 75-nucleotide antisense RNA is filed under the name Streptomyces yokosukanensis. Its description in RNAcentral is "ASpks TB sRNA". It matches the Rfam family "ASpks TB sRNA". The record is from Rfam by way of RNAcentral. Lineage: Bacteria; Bacillati; Actinomycetota; Actinomycetes; Kitasatosporales; Streptomycetaceae.
CUUGAGGGAGCCCAGCCACAGCGGCCGCCCCUUGGGCCGGCCCUGCCCGUACGUGGCGAUGAUCGCCUGCGCUUC